CGGAGGGGGCGGGACGGAGUGCCGGGAUUGGUUAAUCACGAUGGGGUUUUUUUCCUCCGGCCACACGACCUGUCUCCUCGAGAGCUUUUUCUGCGUUGGCGGAGCGGACAUUAGAGAAGCACGCAGACUUUCUCGAGAGUGACGUCAACGCAACCUUUGGCUCCCAUUGGGCGUCGAAUUAAGCAGAGAUGUAACAGAGGAUUUGAUUGGCCCACGUUCUCUCUAACCAAGAGAUCUCGAUGGCGAUUGGCGGACGGAGCUGAUGGGUCCAAGAGGCUCAUGGGAGUUUGGGCACUGAGGGGCCUAUAUUUACAAUGCAGAAUUAACCCAGUUUUAACACAUAAUUAUAUUACUGUGUCUGGAAGAAGAAAGCAGAUGGGAAGAAAACCAAUUCAUUGGAGAUUUGGGGCUGGAGGAUACCAUUGACUACCAAGAAGACACACAAAUGGGCCUGUGAUUCCAUGCGCAUAAGGACAAUAACAUUUCCAGCUUGAGCCAUUAAAAAAACCACAGAGAAAUUAUUAGCAGCCUUUGGUGAAAGGAAAGAGGUCUUGGCAUCUGAAGUUAAGGGGGAUCGCGGUUGGCGCCGACGGAGGAGAUUUCGACGGAGCUCCAAAGGCAGGUCCUGAUGUUGAGAGCUGUUCCGACAGUGGAAUAUUCUGCCUUGGGGAGUGAUGGAGUCUCUUUCUUUGGAAGUUAUUAAACAGAGGCUUGAUGGAAAUAUGUCACAGCCCAGCCUUGAGUCACCUGCAGGAGCUUUUCCGCAACGGGACGCUUCUUGGGGUUCUUGGUUAAGGCGAGCUUCAAGAAGUGCUGGAAAUCUGCAGACCUGGAAGAAAAAGAAAUGAUUGUGCAUCCACAAGAAACCAGAUCCAGUCUAACCCCUUGCUAUGCAAGGAUGCCCGGCUAAAGUACGCCUGAAAGAUGCCCACCCAACCUCUGUGUAAAGAGACCUCUUCUGAAUGAAACUCCGCCACCCCUGAAUGCAAUCUAUUCCACUGUCAAACAAGGCUUGUACAGUUUUUAAAAGUUCUCUUAAUGCUCAGGUGGGAUCUCUUUUCUUCUCAUUUCAAUCCACUGGUUCUUGUUCUGGUACAGCAUAAAAUAAUCUCCCAGCGGGCCCUCUGUAUCCGCAGACUUCGGAUCUGCUAAUCUAACCUCUGGCUCAAAAACAUCACUUUGAACCCUGACUUUCCACAGAUCAGCCCCAGGACAUAUAAACUAGUAGUGCUAGGAACCUCUGGGCAUGUCUAGAGUGCCUCCACCAAAUUUCCCAGCAGCUCAAAGCUGCGUUGGAGGAGUCCUUCUAGUUAAACUGCCUCAUAUUUGAGUUCGCCGGCUCUCCUAGAAGAGAAUCCAGAGUGCCUUUGGGGACCACAGAAUCCCAGAUUUGGAAGAGACUCGAUGCCACCUAGUUCA
Long non-coding RNA from Sceloporus undulatus (fence lizard), 1419 nucleotides. RefSeq lists it as uncharacterized. The transcript has 6 exons. The record is from RefSeq and is a predicted model, not a curated record. NCBI's taxonomy places the organism in Eukaryota, Metazoa, Chordata, Lepidosauria, Squamata, Phrynosomatidae.